UACGUAGGGUGCGAGCGUUAAUCGGAAUUACUGGGCGUAAAGCGUGCGCAGGCGGUCUCGCAAGUCGAGUGUGAAAUCCCCGAGCUUAACUUGGGAAUUGCGCUCGAAACUAUGAGGCUAGAGUGUGGCAGAGGGAGGUGGAAUUCCACGUGUAGCGGUGAAAUGCGUAGAGAUGUGGAGGAACACCGAUGGCGAAGGCAGCCUCCUGGGCUAACACUGACGCUCAUGCACGAAAGCGUGGGGAGCAAACAGG
RNAcentral lists this unclassified non-coding RNA (253 nucleotides) under uncultured Gammaproteobacteria bacterium. RNAcentral describes it as "contains 16S-23S intergenic spacer region". It matches the Rfam family "Bacterial small subunit ribosomal RNA", at positions 524 to 776 of the family's 1533-position model. Lineage: Bacteria; Pseudomonadati; Pseudomonadota; Gammaproteobacteria. The record is from RNAcentral.